RNAcentral lists this ribosomal RNA (652 nucleotides) under Lacticaseibacillus rhamnosus. RNAcentral describes it as "bacterial SSU rRNA". It matches the Rfam family "Bacterial small subunit ribosomal RNA", at positions 374 to 1017 of the family's 1533-position model. The record is from RNAcentral. Lineage: Bacteria; Bacillati; Bacillota; Bacilli; Lactobacillales; Lactobacillaceae.
GACGCAAGUCUGAUGGAGCAACGCCGCGUGAGUGAAGAAGGCUUUCGGGUCGUAAAACUCUGUUGUUGGAGAAGAAUGGUCGGCAGAGUAACUGUUGUCGGCGUGACGGUAUCCAACCAGAAAGCCACGGCUAACUACGUGCCAGCAGCCGCGGUAAUACGUAGGUGGCAAGCGUUAUCCGGAUUUAUUGGGCGUAAAGCGAGCGCAGGCGGUUUUUUAAGUCUGAUGUGAAAGCCCUCGGCUUAACCGAGGAAGUGCAUCGGAAACUGGGAAACUUGAGUGCAGAAGAGGACAGUGGAACUCCAUGUGUAGCGGUGAAAUGCGUAGAUAUAUGGAAGAACACCAGUGGCGAAGGCGGCUGUCUGGUCUGUAACUGACGCUGAGGCUCGAAAGCAUGGGUAGCGAACAGGAUUAGAUACCCUGGUAGUCCAUGCCGUAAACGAUGAAUGCUAGGUGUUGGAGGGUUUCCGCCCUUCAGUGCCGCAGCUAACGCAUUAAGCAUUCCGCCUGGGGAGUACGACCGCAAGGUUGAAACUCAAAGGAAUUGACGGGGGCCCGCACAAGCGGUGGAGCAUGUGGUUUAAUUCGAAGCAACGCGAAGAACCUUACCAGGUCUUGACAUCUUUUGAUCACCUGAGAGAUCAGGUUUCCC